GCCUGUUUAUCAAAAACAUGGUUUUUUGGGAUAAUUUAAGAUCUGACCUGCCCAAUGAUUAAUUUAAUGGCCGCGGUAUAUUGACCGUGCAAAGGUAGCAUAAUCAUUAGUUUUUUAAUUGAAAGCUGGAAUGAAUGGUUUGACAAGAAAGUAGCUGUCUCUAUUUUAUUUUUUAUUAGAAUUUUAUAUUUAAGUGAGAAAGCUUAAAUUUAGUUGAGGGACGAGAAGACCCUUUAGAAUUUUAUAUUACUUUUGGUUAAAAUUUAUAGAAUAUUUAAUUUUAAUUGGAAUGGAAUAUUUUGUUGGGGUGAUGGGAAAAUUUAAUUAACUUUUCUUUUAUUUAAAUUCAUUAAUUUAUGAAUAUAUGAUCCAUAUAUUAUGAUUGUAAGAUUAAAUUACCUAAGGGAUAACAGCGUUAUUAAUUUGGAGAGUUCAAAUCGAUGAAUUAGUUUGCGACCUCGAUGUUGGAUUAAAAUUUAUUAUUGGUGUAGGAGCUAAUAUAUUAAGUCUGUUCGACUUUUAAAAUUUUACAUGAUCUGAGUUCAGACCGG
This 551-nucleotide ribosomal RNA is filed under the name Nigidius lewisi. RNAcentral describes it as "partial 16S ribosomal RNA". It matches the Rfam family "Bacterial large subunit ribosomal RNA", at positions 1798 to 2619 of the family's 2925-position model. Lineage: Eukaryota; Metazoa; Arthropoda; Insecta; Coleoptera; Lucanidae. The record is from RNAcentral.